UCCUCCAGAUUGUCUCUGGCUUCAAAAAAUAAAAAUGGAAAACAUUAUGAAAAAUACAUUACAAGGGUCAUUAAAAAAACAGACCAAAUAAAAAUGAACUUUAAAAAAAUUUCUUUUCAGGACUGAGGUUGAACCCAGUGCCACAUGAAUUCUAGGUAAGCCUUUUUACCACUGAGCUGCAUCUCCAGCCCUGCUGUAUUUAUUUUGAGACAAUGUUUCACCCAAUUGGACAGGAUGGCCUUGAGGUUCUUCUGUAGCCUAGGCUGGUUUUUGAGCUUUCAAUCCUCUUGCCUCCUGAGCAGUUGGGAUUAAAAGCAGGAGUCUUCAGGCCCAUUUAAAAUAAAAUUUUUAGCAAUCUUUAAGUCUGUCCCACCCAUUUGAGUUUUUUUGAGACAGGGUUUCUCUGUGUAGUUCUGUCUGUCCUGGAACUUGCUUUGUAGACCAGGCUGGCUUUGAACUCACGGAGAUACACCUACCUCUGCUUGGAUUAAAGGUGUUCACCACCAAUGCCAGGCUUGAGUUAUUUUUAUAGAAUCUGUUGUAACAAAAUCUUUCUACUAGAUACAUCUACUACCCUCUUAAGUGAACUUAAGAAUAUGAAAUAAAUUCUUAAAGCCAAAAGCAGAGACGGAAGCAGAGUGAGAAUCUGAUUCAGAAUGACCAACUAUACCAUCUUCUUUAAGGGCCUUCAAGCUAACAGAGUGACAGCAGUAAAGAAAGCAUUGAAUGAACUCAGAUUGCGGAGAAACCAUAGCAGCAAAUGCCAAUGCUAAACCACGAGAUGCCAGACUAAGAAUCAUGUGACCAUGGUUUGGCACACUGUUGUUUAGAGUCACGUGACUACAGUCUGACACACUGUCAUUGCCUUUAGGAUCAUGUGACUAUGGUCUGACCCACUGUCAAGAGGUAAUCAUCUGUCUUUUCCUUUAUGCAAGGCUAUCCCAACUCAAUUCCCAAACAGGUAAGUCAUAGAAUUCUUCAAAAACACUGGAGAAAACAGGGACUGGAGAGAUGACUCAGCGGUUAAGAGAGCUUGCUGCUCUUUCAGAGGAUUCAAGUUCAAUUCCCAAGCACCCAGUUCCAUGAGACCUGAUGUCCUCUACUGGUCUCUGCAGAUACCAGGAACUUGCCUGCUGCAAACUUUUCAAGAUGGAUAUGGUUUUAGCACCUUCCUUACUUGACUGGCUGUCACCUGGCCUUCUGCUUGAGGACCUUUUGAACAUCCCCAUGUCUAAUGGAAAGACUGUCCUGAUGCUUUUGUGCCACCAAAUCUGUUUUGAGGCUACUCUGAAUCUGGUCUCGGCUCUCGCUAAGUUGUUUAGCUGGCAUCUUCCUGCUAGUGUGGAGCUUGGAUCCUGAAUCCCAGCCAAUGAUCAGACUACUGACACUUCCAGAACUACAACCAGCCUUUCUGCAAAGGUGAAAGCAGGAGGUAAACUCUGCUCACUUCUCACUGGCUCAAGUGUGGUAAGCUGUCUAGGGAGAACAUCAAUAUUUCUAAAUGCUGAAACUGGUGCUAGAUGUACUAAACCAACUUCCUACAGUAUUCCUACCUCACUCCUGAACAUGCUUCCUAAGUACGUAAGUCUUUACCUCUUCAAGCAGAUGCCUAAUUCUGAGGAUAGAAACAGGUUUUAAUUACACCGUAUUUCCAGGGAUGAGCAUUGGUUUUGACUGGAUGAAGGCCUGUAUCGGGUAAGAUGAAAUACCUGAAAGCCCAACUCAAGAUAGUUUAAAACAAAACUCCAAACCAAAUAAAACCCCAGCAAAGUCCAAGGCUCAUGCCAUGCCCUAAGGAGCUCAUCUUUGGUAUUUUGCUCUUCUCAAUGUUCUGUGUGGCUCCAUGCCCAGAAGAAGUUCACAAUGGGAAGUCCCCAGUUCAGCAAGAACUUUAGUUCUACCUGGACCCGAUGGUCUGGACCUGAUUCAUGUGCCUAACCUGAGGCUGGCUCAUUGGGCAGGGACAGGUCCUUGGCUCGCCCGUAAAAGUAGGGGUGAGGGAACCAACUGCUCCAAGUCCAGAGGACUGAGAUGUGGACACACACAUGCAUUCCUGCAAGGGAGGUGGGAAUCAUGAGCACUGGACAGUCAAAGCAAUUCUAUUUUUUCUUUCAUUGCCAAAUUCCAUGUAUCUUGUCUUUAGAUUGGACCCUGUGGCAUAUGGGUACCGGCCCACACUGGACUUGUUCAGUGACUGACUGGUCUUCCGGAGGUCAGGGUCACACUUCCUGUGCGAAGUCUUCCUCAGAGACUCCAUUUCUGCAGUGUACAUUUUGGCUCUGCUUGUCCCAUCCCCACUCUGUUUCCAGUAAGCUUCACAGUGCAUGCAAUGUCCUUUUUAGACUCUUUGGCAACUAGUGAGUCAUGUAUACAAAGAACUAUUCAAAGCCAAAUGUGCUCAGUCUCUAAGAGAGUACUGAAAAGAUGUUUGUCAAGCUGAGAUAAAGGCCUACAACAUCUGCCUGGAGCAUGAGAGCAGACAGGCCAUCCAGGGACUAUGAAGCAGCCAGGACAAAGUCAAGUAGAAGAUGCAUAAUGGUACCACCUGUGAGGAAAGCACAGCCACUAACAUUAGUGGCCACCAUAUUUCAGACCCUACUCUAAGACUAGUAAUUCAUUGCAUCUUCAAAAUAUGCUGUCAAGCAGGUAAAAUUACUUCCCUUAUUUAAAUAAUUUGCUCAAAGUCACAUGGUCAAGUAGAAUGCAACUGUGUUCCUAUCAAUGGCAAGGUCAGGUACAGUGUUAAUCUCUGGGUUAGAAUUCUUUGAGCAGCUGUCAUCUUUCUCUGAGGACUCAAAUAUUCUGAAAGCAGAACCGUGUCUUGUGUUCACUUUUGUAUUUCUUCUAGAACACCUGUAUUUAAGUAGACGUUAAAUAUAUACUUGCUUCAAAUAAGCUACCCUCACAGUAAACCAGUGUUUUUAAAAGCAUCAUGUUACUGGAGUGAGCACUGGUCCACCAACCCAGGUUAGAGUAGUACAGACAGGAAGUUAUGGACCCACGUAAUGGGAGGGUUUCAGUUCUGACUGUGUGACUGGGCAAGUGACCAGGCUUUAAGCCACAGGGCUUCUCUAUGGUGAAAGAGAGGAAAACUGGAUCUAACAUGCUCCACAAAGACACAGGAGACAUACAGUAACUGCAAAUAAGGCUUACUAAAUUCUUACAAAUAUUUAAGAGAAAAGCUGCGACAAGAAGCCAAGGAAUUUUUCUUAGUUUCACCACAAUUUCAAUAACCAAUGCAUUAGGACAGAAUGGACAAGGUCAGUUUCAGCGAUAACCAGAGAUUAUUUUUAGAACAUCAAAAGGGUGGAAAACAGAGCUCAUCUCAUAGAUAUGCAUGUUUGGACAUACGUGAAACGAGACACCAGAGUUACUGUGAUGGACUCACAAGAGAAUUCUUUACAGGAGUAACUGUUCCUGGGGAUAAGUCCCGGGCUCUGGGCCUCCUAUUCACGGGAAGAGUUUGCCAUGUGUGACCCAAGGGCUCGUCACAGUCUCUGAGACAAUUUCUUUCUCUCUAAAAUGGACACAAUCUACUUCAAAGAACUGUUAUGGAGAUUAAGUAAAACCAUGCGUGUAAGCCGGCUAUGCACCACAUAUUAGCGAUUACCAUACCACCUCUGCGGGAGAGUUGUUUCUACAAAGAAGAGCCAUUGUUUCUCCGGCCAGACCCCACUCACGAGGUCGAGGCGU
This is a non-coding RNA of Cricetulus griseus (Chinese hamster), 3693 nucleotides long. Lineage: Eukaryota; Metazoa; Chordata; Mammalia; Rodentia; Cricetidae. The record is from RefSeq and is a predicted model, not a curated record.